RNAcentral lists this ribosomal RNA (373 nucleotides) under uncultured bacterium. RNAcentral's name for it is "bacterial SSU rRNA". It matches the Rfam family "Bacterial small subunit ribosomal RNA", at positions 527 to 898 of the family's 1533-position model. The record is from RNAcentral.
GUAGGGGGCAAGCGUUGUCCGGAUUUAUUGGGCGUAAAGAGCGUGUAGGCGGCCAGGUAGGUCGGUUGUGAAAACUGGAGGCUCAACCUUCAGACGUCGACCGAAACCCCCUGGCUAGAGUCCGGGAGAGGAGAGUGGAAUUCCUGGUGUAGCGGUGAAAUGCGCAGAUAUCAGGAAGAACACCCGUGGCGAAAGCGGCUCUCUGGAACGGUACUGACGCUGAGACGCGAAAGCGUGGGGAGCGAACAGGAUUAGAUACCCUGGUAGUCCACGCCGUAAACGAUGGGCGCUAGGUGUGGGAGGUGUCGACUCCUCCCGUGCCGCAGCUAACGCAUUAAGCGCCCCGCCUGGGGAGUACGGCCGCAAGGCUAAA